Molecule: ribosomal RNA, 429 nt
Filed under: Pseudomonadota bacterium
Lineage: Bacteria; Pseudomonadati; Pseudomonadota
Description: Proteobacteria bacterium partial 16S ribosomal RNA
Rfam family: Bacterial small subunit ribosomal RNA
Source: RNAcentral
UGGGGAAUAUUGGACAAUGGGCGAAAGCCUGAUCCAGCCAUGCCGCGUGUGUGAAGAAGGUCUUCGGAUUGUAAAGCACUUUAAGUUGGGAGGAAGGGCAGUAAGCGAGUACCUUGCUGUUUUGACGUUACCGACAGAAUAAGCACCGGCUAACUCUGUGCCAGCAGCCGCGGUAAUACAGAGGGUGCAAGCGUUAAUCGGAAUUACUGGGCGUAAAGCGCGCGUAGGUGGUUCGUUAAGUUGAAUGUGAAAGCCCCGGGCUCAACCUGGGAACUGCAUCCAAAACUGGCGAGCUAGAGUAGGGCAGAGGGUGGUGGAACUUCCUGUGUAGCGGUGAAAUGCGUAGAUAUAGGAAGGAACACCAGUGGCGAAGGCGACCACCUGGGCUCAUACUGACACUGAGGUGCGAAAGCGUGGGGAGCAAACAGG